Molecule: small nuclear RNA, 151 nt
Filed under: Chrysemys picta bellii (western painted turtle)
Lineage: Eukaryota; Metazoa; Chordata; Testudines; Emydidae
Description: U2 spliceosomal RNA (ENSCPBG00000013284.1)
Rfam family: U2 spliceosomal RNA
About the family: U2 is a small nuclear RNA (snRNA) component of the spliceosome (involved in pre-mRNA splicing). Complementary binding between U2 snRNA (in an area lying towards the 5' end but 3' to hairpin I) and the branchpoint sequence (BPS) of the intron results the bulging out of an unpaired adenosine, on the BPS, which initiates a nucleophilic attack at the intronic 5' splice site, thus starting the first of two transesterification reactions that mediate splicing.
Source: RNAcentral
UAAAAUCUAUUCUUAUCAUUUGAAUAUCUAAUAUGUCCUUUAUUUGAGGACUGUAUAUUAAAUUGAUUUUUGAAAUAGGGGGAUGGAAUAGGAGCUUGCUCCGUCCACCCCAUGCAUGGACCUGGUAUUGCAGUGCCUCCAGGAACAGUGC